Molecule: ribosomal RNA, 741 nt
Filed under: uncultured bacterium
Lineage: Bacteria
Description: bacterial SSU rRNA
Rfam family: Bacterial small subunit ribosomal RNA
Source: RNAcentral
CUGCUUACCAUGCAGUCGAACGGAGAUAUUGGAGGAAGCUUGCGAAUCCAGUAUUUUAGUGGCGGACGGGUGAGUAACGCGUGGGUAACCUGCCCUAAGGACCGGGACAACAGUUGGAAACGACUGCUAAUACCGGAUGUGCUCGUCGGGAGACAUCUCCUGACGAGGAAAGGUGGCCUCUGAAUAUGCUACCGCUUUAGGAUGGACCCGCGUCUGAUUAGCUAGUUGGCGAGGUAACGGCUCACCAAGGCGACGAUCAGUAGCCGGCCUGAGAGGGUGAUCGGCCACACUGGGACUGAGACACGGCCCAGACUCCUACGGGAGGCAGCAGUGGGGAAUCUUCCGCAAUGGGCGAAAGCCUGACGGAGCAACGCCGCGUGAAUGAAUAAGGCUUUCGGGUCGUAAAGUUCUGUCUUUAGGGAAGAAGUCUCUGUGUGUAAAUAAUGCAUAGAGGUGACGGUACCUGAGGAGGAAGCUCCGGCUAACUACGUGCCAGCAGCCGCGGUAAUACGUAGGGAGCAAGCGUUGUCCGGAAUUACUGGGCGUAAAGGGCGCGUAGGCGGGAUCUUAAGUUAGAUGUGAAAACUCUGGGCUCAACCCGGAGACUGCAUUUAAAACUGGGAUUCUUGAGGGCAGGAGAGGAAAGUGGAAUUCCUAGUGUAGCGGUGAAAUGCGUAGAUAUUAGGAGGAACCCCAGUGGCGAAGGCGACUUUCUGGACUGUACCUGACGCUGAGGCGCGA